Long non-coding RNA from Amphimedon queenslandica, 843 nucleotides. RefSeq lists it as uncharacterized. The record is from RefSeq and is a predicted model, not a curated record. The transcript is spliced from 6 exons. Lineage: Eukaryota; Metazoa; Porifera; Demospongiae; Haplosclerida; Niphatidae.
AUAGCUGCACAUAUAAUUUUCUAGGAGAUAAGAAAGAUGUAAGUAAUGCAGCAGGUGAUAUUAUUGAGAAGAUUGAGAAAGAGUCAGCGGAGAAUUUGGAGAAAGAGUCAGCCAAGAAUAUGGAGAAACAGUCAGCUGAGAGUAUGAAGAAUGAGUCAGACUACAAAGCGUGGCACAAUGAAAAGGAAAGCUUAGAAAAGUGAGAUGGUACCACCGAAUAAAGAAACCUAAAAUAGAAAAAGGAAAGGAAGGUGAAGAAAUGCACAGUUAAUAUUGUUGCUGUUGGUUGUGCUACAAAUAAUGAAUCUGCUGCAAAUAAUGAAGCAACAAGCUUCAACACUGGAGAUCCUUCUAAGCAUAUUAGUAUCGAAGCAAGAAAACCUUCAGAGAGAAAAGAGGCAGAUUCCAGUGAAAGAAUUCUUUGUCAUAGCCCUCCACCACUUCCACCACCACUUGCACUGGUGGAGCUUAAAACUCAAGCUGCAUGUAGUACAGAAACAGAGGUUAUAUACUGUCUCUAAUUAGAAGAAUGGAAAUUUUAGAAGAACAGAGUAUCAUGGUGCCAUCCCAAUUGGGUUGCUUAACAUACCAUUUCUUUGGAAAUACUAGCCCGGCAUGAACACAAGGGCAGGUACUCUGCUACAUACAUGAACAGUAAUGGAAGUACUCCUAGUGCCCCAUCUGCUUGUAAUCUACCUCAGCAUACUGAUCCAGUAACUCCAACUAAUGAGCCAGUAAAGGCAAUCAUCACCAAUACUACUGUGCACACUGGUAAUAGAAGGAAAAUAGAUUUUAAUGCUCCUUUGUUGAAUCCUGAUACUGUGAUUAAUAAAUAUCCCAAAC